Molecule: unclassified non-coding RNA, 153 nt
Filed under: uncultured fungus
Lineage: Eukaryota; Fungi
Description: sequence contains ITS1
Source: RNAcentral
UUCAUUCCAUAUUUAAAUCAGACACAGGCUUCAUCGGGCAUGGAUGCGGCGCACGAGGCGCCGAAGCACGCUUGACGGUCCACGUUUUUGAGUCGGGGCGUCCUGAGACGCCCUGGCACGAUAAUGAUCCCUCCGCAGGUUCACCUACGGAGA